GCCGGAGGAGUUGGUCAGCUUCCUUAUGGUGGCGCUCCAUUGAUCCCUGCUGGAAUGGAUGGGGACGGGGGUUACCCCUACGGUGCCCAGCAGCUUGGCCAUGGGGCUGAUGCUGCCAAAUCUGCCAGCAAAUAUGGUGCAGGUGGAGUGGGAUACCCAGCUCAGCAGACAGGCUUCGCUGGACAGCUGGGGACAGGUCAAGAUGCCUACGGAGGGCCGGCUGGCAAAUAUGGCAG
Lampris incognitus (smalleye Pacific opah) is the source of this 236-nucleotide long non-coding RNA. RefSeq lists it as uncharacterized. The record is from RefSeq and is a predicted model, not a curated record. NCBI's taxonomy places the organism in Eukaryota, Metazoa, Chordata, Actinopteri, Lampriformes, Lampridae. The transcript has 5 exons.